GCACCCGUAGCUCAAUUGGAUAGAGCACCAGACUACGGAUCUGGCGGUUGGGGGUUCGAAUCCUCCCGGGUGCGCAA
Molecule: transfer RNA, 77 nt
Filed under: Bacteroidota bacterium
Lineage: Bacteria; Pseudomonadati; Bacteroidota
Description: Bacteroidetes bacterium (hot springs metagenome) tRNA-Arg
Rfam family: tRNA
About the family: Transfer RNA (tRNA) molecules are approximately 80 nucleotides in length. Their secondary structure includes four short double-helical elements and three loops (D, anti-codon, and T loops). Further hydrogen bonds mediate the characteristic L-shaped molecular structure. tRNAs have two regions of fundamental functional importance: the anti-codon, which is responsible for specific mRNA codon recognition, and the 3' end, to which the tRNAs corresponding amino acid is attached (by aminoacyl-tRNA synthetases). tRNAs cope with the degeneracy of the genetic code in two manners: having more than one tRNA (with a specific anti-codon) for a particular amino acid; and 'wobble' base-pairing, i.e. permitting non-standard base-pairing at the 3rd anti-codon position.
Source: RNAcentral